GACGUAGGGUCCGAGCGUUGUCCGGAGUUACUGGGCGUAAAGGGCGCGUAGGCGGUCUUCUGCGUCACACGUGAAAGCCCCGGGCUCAACCCGGGAACAGCGCUUGAGACUGGGGGGCUUGAGUUCGGGAGAGGAGAGUGGAAUUCCCAGUGUAGAGGUGAAAUUCGUAGAUAUUGGGAAGAACACCGGUGGCGAAGGCGGCUCUCUGGACCGACACUGACGCUGAGGCGCGAAAGCGUGGGGAGCAAACAGG
This 253-nucleotide ribosomal RNA is filed under the name uncultured bacterium. RNAcentral's name for it is "partial 16S ribosomal RNA". It matches the Rfam family "Bacterial small subunit ribosomal RNA", at positions 524 to 776 of the family's 1533-position model. The record is from RNAcentral.